GACGUAGGGCGCGAGCGUUGUCCGGAUUUAUUGGGCGUAAAGAGCUCGUAGGCGGUUUGUCGCGUCUGCUGUGAAAACUCGGGGCUUAACUCCGGGCCUGCAGUGGGUACGGGCAGACUAGAGUGCGGUAGGGGAGACUGGAAUUCCUGGUGUAGCGGUGAAAUGCGCAGAUAUCAGGAGGAACACCAGCGGCGAAGGCGGCGCUCUGGGCCGGUACUGACGCUGAGGAGCGAAAGCGUGGGGAGCAAACAGG
This 253-nucleotide ribosomal RNA is filed under the name uncultured bacterium. RNAcentral describes it as "partial 16S ribosomal RNA". It matches the Rfam family "Bacterial small subunit ribosomal RNA", at positions 524 to 776 of the family's 1533-position model. The record is from RNAcentral.